UACGUAGGGUGCAAGCGUUGUCCGGAAUUAUUGGGCGUAAAGAGCUCGUAGGCGGUUUGUCGCGUCCGCUGUGAAAGCCCCGGGCUCAACCUGGGAAUGGCAGUGGAAACUAGCGAGCUAGAGUGUGUCAGAGGGGGGUGGAAUUCCACGUGUAGCAGUGAAAUGCGUAGAGAUGUGGAGGAACACCAAUGGCGAAGGCAGCCCCCUGGGAUAACACUGACGCUCAGGCACGAAAGCGUGGGGAGCAAACAGG
Molecule: ribosomal RNA, 253 nt
Filed under: uncultured bacterium
Lineage: Bacteria
Description: partial 16S ribosomal RNA
Rfam family: Bacterial small subunit ribosomal RNA
Source: RNAcentral